AUUGAACGCUGGCGGCAUGCUUUACACAUGCAAGUCGAACGGUAACAGCACUUCGGUGGCUGACGAGUGGCGCACGGGUGAGUAAUACAUCGGAACGUGCCUAGUAGUGGGGGAUAACUACUCGAAAGAGUAGCUAAUACCGCAUGAGAUCUAAGGAUGAAAGCAGGGGACCUUCGGGCCUUGCGCUACUAGAGCGGCUGAUGGCAGAUUAGGUAGUUGGUGGGAUAAAAGCUUACCAAGCCGACGAUCUGUAGCUGGUCUGAGAGGACGACCAGCCACACUGGGACUGAGACACGGCCCAGACUCCUACGGGAGGCAGCAGUGGGGAAUUUUGGACAAUGGGCGCAAGCCUGAUCCAGCAAUGCCGCGUGCAGGAUGAAGGCCUUCGGGUUGUAAACUGCUUUUGUACGGAACGAAAAGCCCUCUUCUAAUACAGGAGGGUCAUGACGGUACCGGAAGAAUAAGCACCGGCUAACUACGUG
Molecule: ribosomal RNA, 482 nt
Filed under: uncultured bacterium
Lineage: Bacteria
Description: partial 16S ribosomal RNA
Rfam family: Bacterial small subunit ribosomal RNA
Source: RNAcentral